GAAAUUAAUGGAAGCGUGGAAGCAUACUUUUUAUUUGGGCAUCUAUAAGUAUGUGGAGCUAGUGAUGCAACCGGCCGGCAUAAGA
Molecule: non-coding RNA, 85 nt
Filed under: Fictibacillus arsenicus
Lineage: Bacteria; Bacillati; Bacillota; Bacilli; Caryophanales; Fictibacillaceae
Description: c-di-GMP-II sequence
Rfam family: Cyclic di-GMP-II riboswitch aptamer
Source: Rfam by way of RNAcentral